ACAGCGGAGAGUUUGAUCCUGGCUCAGGAUGAACGCUAGCGACAGGCUUAACACAUGCAAGUCGAGGGGCAGCGGGGGCGUGGCUUGCCACGCCCGCCGGCGACCGGCGCACGGGUGAGUAACACGUAUGCAACCCACCCCCCUCAGGGGGAUAACCCCGGGAAACCGGGCCUAAUACCGCGUACACCGCCUUGGGGGCAUCCCUGAGGCGGGAAAGCUACGGCGGAGGGGGACGGGCAUGCGCCGCAUUAGGUAGUUGGCGGGGCAACGGCCCACCAAGCCGACGAUGCGUAGGGGUUCUGAGAGGAAGGCCCCCCACACUGGUACUGAGACACGGCCCAGACUCCUACGGGAGGCAGCAGUGAG
RNAcentral lists this ribosomal RNA (366 nucleotides) under Muribaculaceae bacterium. RNAcentral describes it as "partial 16S ribosomal RNA". It matches the Rfam family "Bacterial small subunit ribosomal RNA", at positions 1 to 358 of the family's 1533-position model. The record is from RNAcentral. Lineage: Bacteria; Pseudomonadati; Bacteroidota; Bacteroidia; Bacteroidales; Muribaculaceae.